GACGAACGCUGGCGGCGUGCUUAACACAUGCAAGUCGAACGGAAAGGCCCUGCUUUUGUGGGGUGCUCGAGUGGCGAACGGGUGAGUAACACGUGAGUAACCUGCCCUUGACUUUGGGAUAACUUCAGGAAACUGGGGCUAAUACCGGUUAGGAGCUCCUGCUGCAUGGUGGGGGUUGGAAAGUUUCGGCGGUUGGGGAUGGACUCGCGGCUUAUCAGCUUGUUGGUGGGGUAGUGGCUUACCAAGGCUUUGACGGGUAGCCGGCCUGAGAGGGUGACCGGCCACAUUGGGACUGAGAUACGGCCGAGACUCCUACGGGAGGCAGCAGUGGGGAAUAUUGCACAAUGGGCGGAAGCCUGAUGCAGCAACGCCGCGUGCGGGAUGACGGCCUUCGGGUUGUAAACCGCUUUCGCCUGUGACGAAGCGUGAGUGACGGUAAUGGGUAAAGAAGCACCGGCUAACUACGUG
Molecule: ribosomal RNA, 468 nt
Filed under: uncultured bacterium
Lineage: Bacteria
Description: partial 16S ribosomal RNA
Rfam family: Bacterial small subunit ribosomal RNA
Source: RNAcentral